Molecule: ribosomal RNA, 134 nt
Filed under: Yersinia enterocolitica
Lineage: Bacteria; Pseudomonadati; Pseudomonadota; Gammaproteobacteria; Enterobacterales; Yersiniaceae
Description: partial 23S ribosomal RNA
Rfam family: Bacterial large subunit ribosomal RNA
Source: RNAcentral
CCUCGAGAUGAGUCUUCCCUGGGGCUUUAAGCCCCCUGAAGGAACGUUAAAGACUAUGACGUUGAUAGGCUGGGUGUGUAAGUGCAGCGAUGCAUUGAGCUAACCAGUACUAAUGAUCCGUGAGGCUUAACCUU